GAGGGUAUAGCUCAGUGGUAGAGCGCCUGCCUAACAUGCACAAGGUUCUGGGUUCACCCCCAGUACGUCCA
RNAcentral lists this transfer RNA (71 nucleotides) under Camelus bactrianus (Bactrian camel). It matches the Rfam family "tRNA". From Rfam's summary of the family: Transfer RNA (tRNA) molecules are approximately 80 nucleotides in length. Their secondary structure includes four short double-helical elements and three loops (D, anti-codon, and T loops). Further hydrogen bonds mediate the characteristic L-shaped molecular structure. tRNAs have two regions of fundamental functional importance: the anti-codon, which is responsible for specific mRNA codon recognition, and the 3' end, to which the tRNAs corresponding amino acid is attached (by aminoacyl-tRNA synthetases). tRNAs cope with the degeneracy of the genetic code in two manners: having more than one tRNA (with a specific anti-codon) for a particular amino acid; and 'wobble' base-pairing, i.e. permitting non-standard base-pairing at the 3rd anti-codon position. Lineage: Eukaryota; Metazoa; Chordata; Mammalia; Artiodactyla; Camelidae. The record is from Rfam by way of RNAcentral. RNAcentral also lists the same sequence under 2 other names.